RNAcentral lists this ribosomal RNA (326 nucleotides) under uncultured eukaryote. Its description in RNAcentral is "partial 18S ribosomal RNA". It matches the Rfam family "Eukaryotic small subunit ribosomal RNA", at positions 1470 to 1796 of the family's 1831-position model. The record is from RNAcentral.
CCCUUAGAUGUCCUGGGCCGCACGCGCGCUACACUGAACGGAUCAGCGCGUUUUCCCUUCCCGAGAGGGACGGGUAACCUGCUGAACCCCGUUCGUGGUAGGGAUCGGGGCUUGCAAUUAUUCCCCGUGAACCAGGAAUGCCCAGUAAGUGCAAGUCAUAAGCUUGCGUUGAUUACGGCCCUGCCCUUUGUACACACCGCCCGUCGCUACUACCGAUUGAACGUUUUAGUGAGGUACUCGGACUGAGCCUCAGAAGAUUCACGUCUUUUGUGCUGCUCGGGAAGAUUCCCAAACUUGAGCGUUUAGAGGAAGUAAAAGUCGUAACA